RNAcentral lists this ribosomal RNA (254 nucleotides) under uncultured bacterium. RNAcentral describes it as "partial 16S ribosomal RNA". It matches the Rfam family "Bacterial small subunit ribosomal RNA", at positions 524 to 776 of the family's 1533-position model. The record is from RNAcentral.
UACGGGGGGAGCAAGCGUUGUUCGGAUUUACUGGGCGUAAAGGGCGCGUAGGCGGUCAGCACAAGUCAGUUGUGAAAUCUCUGGGCUUAACCCGGAAAGGUCAACUGAUACUGUGCGACUAGAGUGCGGAAGGGGCAACUGGAAUUCUCGGUGUAGCGGUGAAAUGCGUAGAUAUCGAGAGGAACACCUGCGGCGAAGGCGGGUUGCUGGGCCGACACUGACGCUGAUGCGCGAAAGCCAGGGGAGCGAACGGG